This is a long non-coding RNA of Eutrema salsugineum, 1074 nucleotides long. RefSeq lists it as uncharacterized. NCBI's taxonomy places the organism in Eukaryota, Viridiplantae, Streptophyta, Magnoliopsida, Brassicales, Brassicaceae. The transcript is spliced from 4 exons. The record is from RefSeq and is a predicted model, not a curated record.
ACACUUUGCCACAGAAAAAAAAAACCAAUUAGAUUGUCUUUGUUGUUCCUAAAAUUGGCUUCAAGAUAAUCUCCAGCCAACUGAAACAAAUCCAGAGGAAACCAAGUUUGUUCUUCAGCGUGGUUUCAUUAAGACUGGUGGCAGAGGACAUGUACCAUUGGGAGGCGAUUCUAAUGGGCCUCCAGGUUCAUCCUAUGAAAAAUGUGUUUUCAAACUCGUCAUUCAUUUUCCUUCAGAUUACCCAUUCAAACCACCGAAGGUAUCCGGAUUUGAGGAUGAAUAUCCCUGAUGUACAAUUGAUCAUGAUAACCUAAAAGUAACAGAAGAGGAGGUUCACAGCUUGCUUUAUCAAAAGAGAGGACAAGCCUCUUUAACCAUCGAUCUCAAGAAGCUGCAAUCUAGAUUUGAAAAGGUGCCAGAUGAUGCGAUUGAUUUGAUGCCUUAUCUAAAGACAUAUCUUUUCUUUUUGGUGGGGAGUUUGUUUUUUGCAAAAACAACAGAAGAUAUAUCUCCUAUAUAUCUACCAUUACUUGGAGAAUCAGUCAACGACUAUGCUUGGAGAGCAGCGACGUUUGCAUUCAUUUAGCAUGACUUGGUAUCAAUGAGGGAAGAUCUUACGAAGGGUAGGACCACAAGCUUCCCUGGUUUUGGGUAUGCUUUGAUGAUAUUUGCAGUGGAACGAUUUCUCUGCUUACGCGAAGCAUUAUGUAUUGAUUCUCUAUCUUCUGGGUUUCCUCUGCUUUCAGGGUGGUUAAAUCUAUUUCCUAAAGGAAAUGAUAAGAACAGCUUUGUGAAUCAUUUCCAAAAUAAGCUUGACAACAUGAUGGAAAAUCAGGUAAUACUUCUUUAUGAAUACAUAAACUGCUUAUAUAUGGUUAUAAUUCUCGUUGUAAACUCAAUACUUGAUUAUAUAUUCACAGAUUACAUGGCAACCUUAUAAACUUGUUGGCUGUAACCUUGAAUUGCAUGAUAAGUACAAAGAUCAUAUUUCUAUGAUAUACUCGUGCACAGCUUGUAUUUGCUUUUAAUGUGGUCGCAUAUAAUUUCCCUCAUACGUUCUUUUAAGCAACUGGG